Molecule: ribosomal RNA, 253 nt
Filed under: uncultured bacterium
Lineage: Bacteria
Description: partial 16S ribosomal RNA
Rfam family: Bacterial small subunit ribosomal RNA
Source: RNAcentral
UACGGAGGGUGCAAGCGUUGUUCGGAAUCAUUGGGCGUAAAGCGCACGUAGGCGGCUUUGUAAGUUAGAGGUGAAAGCCCGGGGCUCAACCCCGGAAUUGCCUUUAAGACUGCAUCGCUUGAACGUCGGAGAGGUGAGUGGAAUUCCGAGUGUAGAGGUGAAAUUCGUAGAUAUUCGGAAGAACACCAGUGGCGAAGGCGGCUCACUGGACGACUGUUGACGCUGAGGUGCGAAAGCGUGGGGAGCAAACAGG